This 3134-nucleotide unclassified non-coding RNA is filed under the name Lucilia cuprina (Australian sheep blowfly). Its description in RNAcentral is "zinc finger protein 665, transcript variant X1". The record is from RNAcentral. Lineage: Eukaryota; Metazoa; Arthropoda; Insecta; Diptera; Calliphoridae.
UUCGUGUGCGUUGACACAACUCUUUGUGUGAAAUACAAAAACUAAAAUGGCGACGUCAGUAGAGUGAUGGAAUUGAGGAAUUUUUUCAAUUGUGUUGAUUUUUUAUAUUCAUAUUCUAUAUAUUGGUGGAUAUUUUAACCCAAUUACAACAAUAAAUCUAAAAACACAAACAAAUAAUACCAAAUAAAUAUAUAUAUCAAACAAUUUCCGUGCAAAUGCCUAAAACAAAAAGUGAAAUAUCUAAAAAGCAAAUAAAAAACCUAUUGAAAAAAAGUGAAAAAAGUUACGCUAAAGAAAAAAUAAAAAUGGCGCCCGCGACGUCUUGACUUUCUUUUUUUUUUACAUAUAUUGUAUAAAAUCGUUUUUGCAUAAAGAAUUUUACAUUAAUUGUAAAUAUUUCCACGAAAAAAACAUGCUAAAAACACAAUUGACUAAAUUGUGAAAAUCUUAUUCAAUAAAAAAAUAUCGUGUAAAAGUUUGGAGAAAAAUUCUAAAGCAAAAUAAAAGUUGAAAAGCGAAAUUACUGUGGCCGUUGUUUUUUUAAGUUCGUUCAUUUCAGUUUCAUUAUAUUUUUUUUAAUUUUCAUUCAUACGUUCGUAUACGUGCGUGUGUGUAAUAUAUAUUUUUUUUAAAUAAAUAAAAGGCCUUGAGGAUGUGUGCUGCUCAAAGUAAUCCAACACAAAGUUUUGGUCCUUAUGCCUGGGGUUUUGCUGAUAACACUCGAGGUCCCGAGUCCGUAUUGGAAAUAUCGCCCAAUAUAAACUACACUGUUAGCAGUGAAUCUCAUUAUAAUUUUCAGAUGCCAUAUUUGUUAUCCACUGAUGGAUCAUUAACAGUGCAAAAAGAUGUUAAAGGAGGAUUAGCUGGCAAUAAAAGUGUUGUACGGCGUAUGGUAUUGGUCAAUGACCCAUUUGCAACAGGAGCUCAAAGAGUAAUUACUGGUGCUGCCGCCGCCUCCUCAGUUGUUAAGAAACCAGAGCAACAACAACAAGUUUUAAACUUAAAUUGUGACAAAAAUUAUCUUCUUGUCGAUCAAACAGAUCAGUCUCAUUUAUCGAACGGUAUUGUAGAUUCAAAAACACAAACCAUAUUAACAACAGCAGCAGCUGCUAAUAAAGCACAUUUUAGUCCAAUUGGCCCCAUACACUUGACGGCCGAGGAAUGUAAUGAAAUAUUAAUGAAACGUGCUUUGGCCGCCACACACCCACAAACUAUAACAUCAAAUGAUGGUCAUAAUACAACUACAAGUCAUGCAAUGUUAGGUGACAUAUUGCCUGGCAUCUCAGUGCAAGUACAAAAAGUUAUACAAGGUCUAGAAGACAAUGAUGAUUCACAAGGUAAUGUGCCUAAUUUAAAAUUAGAACCUGGAACAUUGGAACUCUCACCGAAAGCAGAAUUACAAGACACCAUGCAUUUUACAGAUGCCGAUGCCACCAUUAAAAAAGAACGCCCUUACAGUUGCGAUGAGUGUGGCAAAUCAUUUUUAUUAAAACAUCAUUUAACUACUCAUGCUAGAGUACAUACAGGGGAACGGCCCCAUAUCUGUACACAUUGUGGUAAAAGUUUCGCCCAUAAACACUGUCUAAAUACCCACUUGCUUCUACACUCCACCGAUCGCCCUUAUCAGUGCACCGAGUGCAAAAAGAGUUUUACUCUUAAACAUCAUUUGUUGACCCAUUCUAGGGUACACUCACGUGAUCGACCCUUUAUUUGCCAGGAAUGUGGUCGUACAUUCCCGCUGAAACGUCACUUAGUGACCCAUAGUAAAUAUCAUGCUGGCGAACGACCGUUUGUUUGUGAUGAAUGUGGCGAAAGUUUUGCCCAAGAAAAUCAUCUUAUUAUGCAUUCACGUUUUCAUGGUUCUGUUAAUCCAUUCGUUUGUCAGGAUUGUGGUGUUACAUUUCCGCGUAAAUUUCAAUUGGUCAAUCAUGCUCGUAUACAUGGCAAAGUACCGCAUGCCUGUACAGUGUGCGGUAAAGAAUUUUUACAAAAAAGAACAUUAGUGGCACAUAUGCGUGUACAUACUGGUGAUCAACCAUAUCCUUGUAUAAGUUGCGGCGAAGGUUUUAUGACAAGACCGGAUUUAAAUCAACAUAUACGCACCACACAUGGUGGUGUCAAUCCGAAUUCUUCAAAUACCGCCGCAGUGCCGUCCAACAAUUUAAUUUCACAGCAGCAGCCAACACAAACAAUACAACAAGUACACCAAACACAAGCCCAUACUACACAUCAGCAACAGCAGCAAGGGCAUCAAGUUCAAAAUAAUCAUCCACAAACUAUAACGGUGGUUAGCAAUCCAAACAAUUCGGCCUUGUUAACGGUCACCGCCAAUGAUGCCAAUAAUACGGCCAGACCACAAUUUGGUUGCCGGGAAUGCGGAAGUGCCUUUAAUAGUCGCGAAGCUUUAGCUCUCCACCUGCGUUUACAUACCGGUGAUAAAAGUCUUAUGACCGAUUUAUGUGCUUUAACCGCCGCCUUGCCUACACACUUACUAAGCACAACCGGUAUGAGUUCUGGCGCCACUGUUGUGGCUGCCAAUCCAAAUAUUAUAGCCCAAAACCAAAUGCCAGUUCAAAUCAUAUCAUCAACGGGUCAAGUUGUUUCACAGACAACACUGGUGCAGGCCGCCGCUACGACUCAUCCGCAGACACUUGUUCCCGGCAUGUCAUCGGUUGGUUUACAGCCUCAACAGCAGCAGCAACACUUACAGAAUGGUGCUGCUCACCAGCAGCAACAUCAGCAGCAGCAACAACAGCAGCAACAACAACAGCAGCAGCAACAACCGCAGCAAUCACAACAGACACCCACCAAACCCAAAUCACAUUUCUGUGCUAGUUGUGGCAAAGGUUUUGCUGCCAAACACGGUCUCAUGCAACACAAUCGUCGUCAUCCGAACGGCGGUUGUACGGUACGCACUCAUGUGUGCGAGUGUGGCAAAGCAUUCUUCCAAAAGAAUCACUUAAUGCUACAUCAACGUCAACAUUUGGAAACGAAACCACCCAUUUCGCAGCAACAGGUGUGUUGAACCUCUCACUCACAAUCACUCUCUCAAAUCAAACUCUCUAAAAACAAUUGAGAAAUAAUCUUUAAAUAAAAAGGUUGUAGUUGUGUGCAACCUUGAUUUUAUUCUUCAA